AGUGCGAGGGCAUAGAGCCCUCGCUUUUGUACACCGUAAGGUGGUGUACGAAUAAGAGCUGGGCAAGACCGGUGCCAGCCGCCGCGGUAAUACCGGCAGCUCGAGUGAUGGCCGAUCUUAUUGGGCCUAAAGCGUCCGUAGCUGGCCAGGCAAGUCCGUUGGGAAAUCUGCUCGCUUAACGAGCAGGCGUCCAGCGGAAACCGCUUGGCUUGGGACCGGAGGACCUGAGGGGUACGUCCGGGGUAGGAGUGAAAUCCUGUAAUCCUGGACGGACCACCGGUGGCGAAAGCGCCUCAGGAGGACGGAUCCGACAGUGAGGGACGAAAGCUAGGGUCUCGAACCGGAUUAGAUACCCGGGUAGUCCUAGCUGUAAACGAUGCUCGCUAGGUGUGGCGCAGGCUACGAGCCUGCGCUGUGCCGUAGGGAAGCCGAGAAGCGAGCCGCCUGGGAAGUACGUCUGCAAGGAUGAAACUUAAAGGAAUCGGCGGGGGAGCACUACAACCGGAGGAGCCUGCGGUUUAAUUGGACUCAACGCCGGACAUCUCACCGGCUCCGACAGUAGUAAUGACGGUCAGGUUGAUGACCUUACCCGACGCUACUGAGAGGAGGUGCAUGGCCGCCGUCAGCUCGUACCGUGAGGCGUCCUGUUAAGUCAGGCAACGAGCGAGACCCGCACCCCUAAUUGCCAGCAGUACCCUUUGGGUAGCUGGGUACAUUAGGGGGACUGCCGCUGCCAAAGCGGAGGAAGGAACGGGCAACGGUAGGUCAGUAUGCCCCGAAUGAGCCGGGCAACACGCGGGCUACAAUGAUUGAGACAAUGGGAAGCCACUCCG
This 833-nucleotide ribosomal RNA is filed under the name haloarchaeon 0Ct24. Its description in RNAcentral is "bacterial SSU rRNA". It matches the Rfam family "Archaeal small subunit ribosomal RNA", at positions 384 to 1213 of the family's 1478-position model. Lineage: Archaea; Methanobacteriati; Methanobacteriota; Halobacteria; Halobacteriales. The record is from RNAcentral.